GAACGGCAGCUGCAGCUGGAGGCACCACCUGAGCGAGUUUACGAUGCCUCUUGCCGUCCCGCGAGCUCCAUCUGUCCUAGACACAAGGAUAAAUCUCAGAGAAGGGCACGAGGCUGCUGGUGGCAGUGCCGGAUCUCAUGGGCAGCUCGGUCUGAUUCCAGGGACCAAUAAACACAGGAAGCCGUGCGCUGAGUAAGAAGAAAGGAAAUCAAGGGAAGACUCCUGUGUGUCUCCGAGGCCGUGGCGUUGCUGUUUCCCAGCAGGAAGGGGAGGGGCACGCAGGAGCCCGGGACACAGGCCUACAAGGGUCAUCCUUAAUAAAUGUCAGCGUGGCAGCCUACCUCCUGGAGGCCCCCAGGGCAACUGCGUUCCAGUGGUACCCCAGGGAAACUUGGCAGGUGACUGUGGCAGAGGGUGCCUCCGCACAUACAUCGGGCUGUUGACAUCUCCCCCGUCCCUGAAGUCGGGCAGAACUUCAGACAUGCAGCAGAAUCGUUUUCUGUCAGUCUCGGCAGUUGCACUUGGAACCCAACCACAUGUCUCAGGAACCCAGGCCACCCGGAAAGGCUACGAGUGGGGGCUUCAGCGGGCAGCCCUAAUGGGACCCCCCGGGGGACAUCCAGCAUCCACUGCCCAGCGUGUGAGUGAGCGAGUGACCCUCUGAUGAUUCCAGCCCCAGCCUUUGAGUUUUCCAGCCCAGGCUCUAGACACUGGGCAGCAGAGAUCAUUCGCACCUGCAGCCUGCUUUCCUGACCCAAGGAAGUCCUGAGAAGUAACAAUGAUCCCUGCUUUAAGCUACUAGACUUGGGGGCAGCUUGUUACAGAGCAAUGAAUGACCGGAACAGACAUGCCCCGUUUGUGGGUUGUUUCUCCUCCUUUACCUUCUUUCUCCACUUCCCUUCCGGCUUUGCCUGGGUCACCUCGCAGACCGUGCGCCUGCCUUCCGG
Molecule: long non-coding RNA, 947 nt
Filed under: Mustela putorius furo (domestic ferret)
Lineage: Eukaryota; Metazoa; Chordata; Mammalia; Carnivora; Mustelidae
Description: lncRNA (ENSMPUG00000031028.1)
Source: RNAcentral